CCUACGGGAGGCAGCAGUGAGGAAUAUUGGUCAAUGGACGAGAGUCUGAACCAGCCAAGUAGCGUGAAGGAUGACUGCCCUAUGGGUUGUAAACUUCUUUUAUAUGGGAAUAAAAUGUUCCACGUGUGGGAUUUUGUAUGUACCAUAUGAAUAAGGAUCGGCUAACUCCGUGCCAGCAGCCGCGGUAAUACGGAGGAUCCGAGCGUUAUCCGGAUUUAUUGGGUUUAAAGGGAGCGUAGGUGGAUUGUUAAGUCAGUUGUGAAAGUUUGCGGCUCAACCGUAAAAUUGCAGUUGAAACUGGCAGUCUUGAGUACAGUAGAGGUGGGCGGAAUGCGUGGUGUAGCGGUGAAAUGCUUAGCUAUCACGAAGAACUCCGAUUGCGAAGGCAGUUCACUGGACUGCAACUGACACUGAGGCUCGAAAGUGUGGGUAUCAAACAGGAUUAGCUACCCUUGUAGUC
This 460-nucleotide ribosomal RNA is filed under the name uncultured bacterium. RNAcentral's name for it is "partial 16S ribosomal RNA". It matches the Rfam family "Bacterial small subunit ribosomal RNA", at positions 338 to 795 of the family's 1533-position model. The record is from RNAcentral.